GAUGAACGCUGGCGGCGUGCCUAAUACAUGCAAGUCGAGCGAACGGACGAGAAGCUUGCCUGUCUUAUGUUAGCGGCGGACGGGUGAGUAACACGUGUCUAACCUACCUAUAAGGCUGGGAUAACGUCGGGAAACCGGAUCUCACACCGGUUAAUAGUUUGAACCGCAUGGUUCAUCAGUGAAAGCCGGUCUUGCUGUCACUAAUAGAUGUAUCCACGCUGCAUUAGCUAGUUGGUAAGGUAACGGCUUACCAAGGCAACGAUGCGUAGCCGACCUGAGAGGAUGAUCAGCCACACUGGAACUGAGACACGGUCCAGACUCCUACGGGAGGCAGCAGUAGGGAAUAUUCGGCAAUGGGCGAAAGCCUGACGGAGCAACGCCGCGUGAGUGAAGAAGGUCUUCGGAUCGUAAAGCUCUGUUAUUAGGGAAGAACAUAUGUGUGAGUAACUGUGCACGUCUUGACGGUACCUACUCAGAAAGCAACGGCUAACUACGUG
Molecule: ribosomal RNA, 497 nt
Filed under: uncultured bacterium
Lineage: Bacteria
Description: partial 16S ribosomal RNA
Rfam family: Bacterial small subunit ribosomal RNA
Source: RNAcentral